GAGAGAAGGACUCCUCCAUCCUUCAUGCCAAAAGUGGUUUUAUGCUUCUUGUUAUGACGCCCAACUGUUGGGCAAUUGGAGGGUGUUUGACUUCCUCCACGAUUUCUAUUUGAGUCAUAAUUUGGGACUGAAAAAGGCUGAUUUCAUAGGGCUUGUGUGUGGGUUCCAUAGGUCCAAAAGUUGGACAGUAAAAGGGCUAAGAGCUGAGGGUUCAACAUGUCCAAGAGAGGGAAGAAAG
This 238-nucleotide long non-coding RNA is filed under the name Elaeis guineensis (African oil palm). RNAcentral describes it as "long non-coding RNA (EGUI_LNC075695)". The record is from RNAcentral. Lineage: Eukaryota; Viridiplantae; Streptophyta; Magnoliopsida; Arecales; Arecaceae.